GGUCCGACCCUGCGACUCCGGUCCGGUUCACCACCGACGCCGCCGCUAAUUUGAUGUGAGCAACAGCCACCAUUUAAACGAUGACGUUCUAUUGGCCUCGUUUUCUUAUGCUUCGCCGUCAUCCUCAACGACACCGGCGGUGUUGGUGCCCUGCGCUUUGCUUUCACCGCAGAAGGUAUAUUUUGCAGUCAUUUUAGGUCGUACAAUAGAUUCGACUGAUAAUACAUUGCAUUGAAUGUUUGAAGGAUUAGAUGAUUAAACAAGAUCUAAAUGUGUGGUGGAUUAAUCUAUAUCACUUGUAUAUAUCUAAGCUAUCAUUGAGUUGAGACACAGGGUGAGGUUCUAAGCUAAGAAUGUCAUUUCUUUUCUCAUCAGUGAUUUGUUUCCUAAUCAUAGUAUAGGAUGCCACUCAUGCCAGUAAGUGAAAAUGCUUGAAGACUGCUGAAAUCAAUGUAUCAUCUUAUUGUGGCAUUCAUUGGUUUUGAGUNUAUUUUAUUGCAAAUAACAUGUACAAAUCAAAUUAGUCGAAUAUUGGCAUGGAAUUUGGAUGAAAUUUGGCCGGAAUAUAGAUUAGUAGCAAAAUCAGAUAAAAUCAAAAGUUUAGUAAUUAUCACGUCACAAUUUAAAGUUUGUAUGCAAAACCAGAAUUUGAUGAAAGUUUGGUAUUUUAUGGGCAAUUAACCCUUUAUAUUAUAAUAACUAUUAAAUACUAUUGUGACAAUACAUAUAUUGAUUGAUCUCCAGUUUCUAAAAAGUGUAAUUUACGACUGUUAGUUAAAAAGUCUAGCUUCUAAUUAAUCAAAUCAUAAUCAUCUAGAACAUAUUAACCAAAAAUAUUAAAUUACCAAAAAUAUGAACAUGGUCUCCUUUUGCAAUUUUAACCUGAAAUUGUGAUAAAAUUGCUAGAUGAUCUAAAAUUACUUGGUUUCUUUAAAUAAUUUUUCGAGUGAAUUUUUUAUAAUUUUAAAAUUUUUCUUUACACGUCAUAUUUAAUUCACCCAAUGUCCCGCAAUAGCAGCAAAACCAAUACCGACCGGUCCGACCCUGCGACCUCCGGUCCGGUUCACCACCGACGCCGCCGCUCCCACUCCUACAGCCGCUAAUUUGAUGUGAGCAACAGCCACCAUUUAAACGAUGACGUUCUAUUGGCCUCGUUUUCUUAUGCUUCGCCGUCAUCCUCAACGACACCGGCGGUGUUGGUGCCCUGCGCUUUGCUUUGACCGCAGAAGGUAUAGUUUGCAGUCAUUUUAGGUCGUACAAUUGAUUAGACUGAUAAUACAUUGCAUUGAAUGUUUGAAGGAUUAGAUGAUUAAACAAGAUCUAAAUGUGAGGUGGAUUAAUCUAUAUUACUUGUACAUAUAUCUAAGCUAUCAUUGAGUUGAGACACAGGGUGAGGUUCUAAGCUAAUGAGACACAGGGUGAGGUUCUAAGCUAAGAAUGUCAUUUCUUUUCUCAUCAGUGAUUUGUUUCCUAAUCAUAGUAUAGGAUGCCAGUAAGUGAAAAUGCUUGAAGAUUGCUGAAAUCAAUGUAUCAUCUUAUUGUGGCAUUCAAUGAUUUUGAGACAGUAUACUUUUACAAGAGUACAUGAUCUGCCCUAAAUAGUUGCUCACAGAAUUCAUUUCAUUCCCCUCUCACAUUAUUAGCUACAAGAGGAUGAAUUGUUAGGGGUUCAUAAACCAAGGAUUUCAUAUCUUCCAUCAUUUGUUGUGGAGAUGUGAAUUCAUCGCCGCUUGCAUACAAAUAACACCCAAUCCUGCAUACCUUCAGAAACAUAUCUUUGCAUUGUCUUGGGAAGAUGGUUCCUGUUUUGUAGACAAUCUGCAUCAGUUGUCUCCUGUUACAUUCAGCCAUUUCUUUUGCUAUUCUAAUGGCUUCUUCUUCAGUAAAGGAGCUGUCAUCUUUGUUAGCUGCUAGCAGAAGGGUCACACUGUUUCCAGUAUUUUCUUUGCGUUCCUUCUGUCAAAGCACAUUAAGUUUAUUAUGCAUCCAAAGAAAUCUUUCACCAGAGACUACUAAUCUGUAUUUGUAAUGUGAGAUGCUGAUAUUUGGUUAAUGUUUUCUAGUGUUGCACUUGUAUUCUUGGAAGAAUCUUACCUCAAAAGUUUGCACAUCGUUGAGCAGCCGGUCAACCAUGGAGACAUGCCUACACAGAUCAAUGCACUCUUCACUCAGAAGCAUUUCAUCGGAUAGUUUUAUACCGAUGAAUUGCAUCGACAUGAGGAUGCAGAUUCUGCAGCCAAUUGACACCCAGGAGGCAGACAAGUAAUCAUCCAAGGUUAGUGCCGUGUCAUCGCUCCAUGUAUCCAAUUCUCUCUUGAAAAUUGAUAGUAUUUGAACCCACUGCACUUGUAGCAAACAUAAAAAUUACUUACCAGGAAAACAAAUAUAAGAUGUUAUGCAAUCAUUUAAAGCAUCUUGUUAAUACGACGUACCAGCUUUAUUAGAAAAUCUUUAACACUACGUCCGUGUUCGACAUGAGCCCUCUCUGCCAACUCAUUUACUGUGUUGUAUACUGCUGUAAAAAGAAUUUCAACUUCCUCGGAACCAUAUUCUGCGGCUGGCUUCUAUUUCCAUCUGUUUUUUCACAUUUUGUUGGGACAAAGUUACUAGCUUAUUAUACAUGAAUAAAAAGGAAAAGAAAGCAAUGAACAGAUGAGUUUGUGGAAGGAAGUUUACUCUUUUAUUAAUUCAAGGAUCUUGUAGGACUCUUCUCUAGACCCACGAUGAUCGAAAAAAUCAUCAAUACGUGUCACAAGCACAAUAUGUUGGGCAAAGACUAUGCGAACAUCAGACAAUUCAGGAUCACCAAUAAUUGCUGAAGUUAGAAAAUUAGCAACACGCACUACAUCUCUUCCAUACUUCAAGGUGUCCAACUUACAAUCUGCAUACCACCUACAUGCAUUUUGGUUUGAUGCAUCAAGUAUAUUACUCCUUAUUUAGAUGAAGUUUUAUGGUUAAGCUAUCACAUUGUCAUACCUUUGCAGUUGCUGAAGUUCUUUCUGGUGUUGGGCUUGGCAAAUGUUAAAAUCUUGCCUCGCAAAUGCUAGAAAAUCUUCACUGCAUAGAUUAGAGAACCUAAAACAAAGAAAAAACAUGUUUUUGUUUAGUAUAGAUCGGCAGAAACUGUUUAUCAGAUAUGAGGCAGAUUCAACAUACUGAAUGCCACUCUUUACCUAUUUGCAGCUUUUGCAGUUCGAUAAUAGCUUAUAUCAUAUAGGUCGAGGUUUUGUCUAACUCCCAUUCUAUCUAAUAUCCCGUGAUAGUUCUUCAAGUAGUAUUCCACCUUGACAUUUUUGUGAAAGAAAAAACUUGAUCAGUAUAAAAUUUAAUCUUGAAAAGGUGACUAUUUUAAGCUGAUUAAGAAAAACAUUAAUUAGUAAGCACCAGUUUGUGCAACUUCUUGUCAGGAAUGGAGUUAGUGAGCAACUUCUGCUUAAGAAAGGUGGUGGUCCAAGCAUGUAGUUUCUUAAGACUGCUCUCGUCUUCCCCUGUUCUCUCCUGUGCUGCUCUGUAAAGCUCGAUAACUGUCGCCACUUCAAUCGUUUGCAGGUCAACAUGCUCUUGGUCAGCAUACGGAGCCAGUUCCUCUAAACAACGACGAAAAAGGUUCGUUCACAUUUGUGCAUCUAUCUUAGAUUCUUGUACAUCUUAUGUAUAAUUUGAAUGGUGUUUCCACGUACCUGAUGAAACUUCAUAUCCCUUGACACGCAAAAGUCUAAAUGCCAUUGCAUGAAUAGUAGUAUCCGAAAAUAUCGCUCUCUCUUUCCGUUGCCAUAACCUGUUGAUCAUCGAAGCAGAUAUUCAAGCCUCGGCUUCUGAUUCUAUGCAUAAAAGCAAUGUGGAUCAUCUUUUUCAAUUUUGACAUACCUGUAUGUGUCCUCUAGAAUAGUGUCGAUUUCAGAUCGGAAGUAUCGGUCGACUCCCAACCUUUGGAGGGUGUCGAUUAUACAGAGAUUAGAGGGCAUAUCCGCC
Molecule: long non-coding RNA, 3972 nt
Filed under: Salvia miltiorrhiza (redroot sage)
Lineage: Eukaryota; Viridiplantae; Streptophyta; Magnoliopsida; Lamiales; Lamiaceae
Description: long non-coding RNA (SMIL_LNC007133)
Source: RNAcentral